GGGUGCGAUCAUACCAGCGUUAAUGCACCGGAUCCCAUCAGAACUCCGUAGUUAAGCGUGCUUGGGCUAGAGUAUUGCUGGGAUGGGUGACCUCCCGGGAAGUCCUAGUGUUGCACCCUC
Molecule: ribosomal RNA, 120 nt
Filed under: Keteleeria pubescens
Lineage: Eukaryota; Viridiplantae; Streptophyta; Pinopsida; Pinales; Pinaceae
Source: RNAcentral